Homo sapiens (human) is the source of this 1726-nucleotide long non-coding RNA. Ensembl annotates it as long intergenic non-protein coding RNA 1992. NCBI's taxonomy places the organism in Eukaryota, Metazoa, Chordata, Mammalia, Primates, Hominidae. The record is from Ensembl.
CAGAAUGCUCAGGGAGACUGAUUUGAGUAAUAAUAAAACUCCGGUCUCUGGCACAGCUGGCUCUGAGUGAAUUACUCUUUCUCUAUUGCAAUUCCCCUGUCUUGAUGAAUUGGCUCUGUCUAGGCAGUGGGCAAGGCAAACCUCUUGGGCAGUUGCAACUGUACUAGAGAUGAUGGUGGCAGAAUUCUCCAGGCCUUUUGUCGCUUCUCCUUUUUCCAUGAUGACUUCAUUCUCUCAGAUGACUAUGGUUUGAAUGAGUCCACUCCAGAAUUCAGGUGUUGAAACUUAAUGGCUAAUGUGAUAGUAUUAGAGAUAGGGCCUUUAAGAGGUGAAUAGGCCAUGAAGCUUCUUUCUUAUAAAUGAAGGCUCUUAUAAAAGAGGCUUCAUGUGGCUCCCUUGCCCUUCUGUCUUCUGCCAUGUGAGGACACACGAUUCCUCUUCUCUGGAGGAUGCAGCAACAAGGCAUCAUUUUGGAAUUACGGAGCGGCCCUCACCAGGCAACCAAACUGGCAGUUCCAGUGGCUAGAAUUCCAAGAUCAAGGUGUCAGCAGCAUGGUUCUUUCUGAGAGCUGUGAAGAAGAAUCCGUUCCAUGCCUCUCCCCCAGUUUCUGGUGGUGUGCUGGCAGUCUUUGGCAUUCUUUGGCCUGCAGACGCAUCACCCUAAUCUCAGCCCAGCUCCGGAACGCCUUUCCCAUGUUUGGUGUGUUUUCUACCUAAUGAGUUUUGAUGGAAGUGAAGGCUGUUAUUUACCUCUGGAAGCUAAAAAUACCAGCUCCCUGGUCAUCUCAGAGUUGGUUUCCGAUGCAACUAAAAACAUCAACUGAUAUGAGGUCCAAAAGAUGGAAUUUUAAGCACCAAAGACGCUCCCUUAUGGGCAAAGUCUCAAUAGGACAUCUGCAUGUUCAGUUGAGAUUCUGCUUUCCCCUCAGAUGACAGAAUUAUUGGCAACCAGUUAAAUUGACGCAAUUGGAAACCCAGAAACAUGAUCAACAAAGAUAAGGAGAUGGAGAUACCAGUCACCCCUAUCAAAGUGGCAAGUGGGAGGGGGAUGCUGGUUGGUCUGUCGGAGCUGACGAAGGAAUGGGAUUGGAAUGUUUCUUUUACCAAUUAUGUAAACACAGCCUGGAGUUCCGAGAUGAGUCCAUCUCACUUGCUCAGAACUUUGCCUGGUGAGAGCGGUUACAAGCGAACAAGGUGGAAAUGAAAGAAACCCUGACUUUCCCACUAGGAAGGAAGAGACUGUUCCUUCUUGUGAUGUACUCUGAAGAAAAAUUCUAGGAUUUGGACAGAUUUCUUGGGUUAUAAAACAUGAUUUUCUUCUCUGUUUCUUGGGCUUUUAUAAUGGGUACUGUUGUUUUCUUGCAAAGCUUUAAUGAUUCCAUAAGGACUUGUAUAAAGUUUAUGGGAGAAUUUUCAAUGUAGAUGUGAAUGGCAGAAACCCAAGAAUCUGUGUGAGGUUGAAUAAGAUCCUGUGUCUCCAGAGAGGUCUGAUGGGGAGACACAGAUCUAAAUUUUAAAGGUGGUUUGGGCCUUCUCAAUCAUAUAUUAAGGUCCUUUUAUGUUAUAGAUAAGUAAAUUAAGGCCCAGAAAGAUUAAUAGCCCAAGGUCCCAAGACCUGCUUGAGACCUGUGCCCCAUUUCUGACUAAUAUUCUUCAUGAUAUUGUAUCACUCUGUAUCAAAACCAACCAACCAAUAAAACCAACCAACCAACCAACCAACAGAAAA